CUGGCCCAAAGCCCCUGUGAGGAGCAGCUGCUCCUAGGAAGGUCUGAGACGGGAGGAUGCGAAAGCAGGCGCAAUGCCAUGUGGCCAGUGCCACUGUCUGCCUCAAUAGAAAACAACGCAAUGCGGCUGGAAGAGGCGGACAUCCCAUUCACAGCAGUGGAAUGCAGGGGGUCGUAAGACAACUGAAUUCAGACUACUCUUGGGCCAG
Molecule: RNase P RNA, 208 nt
Filed under: Enterospora canceri
Lineage: Eukaryota; Fungi; Microsporidia; Enterocytozoonidae
Description: Nuclear RNase P
Rfam family: Nuclear RNase P
About the family: Ribonuclease P (RNase P) is a ubiquitous endoribonuclease, found in archaea, bacteria and eukarya as well as chloroplasts and mitochondria.
Source: Rfam by way of RNAcentral